Gossypium hirsutum (cotton) is the source of this 107-nucleotide non-coding RNA. Lineage: Eukaryota; Viridiplantae; Streptophyta; Magnoliopsida; Malvales; Malvaceae. The record is from Rfam.
AUGUCAUGAUGAGGAAAUUUCUACAAUAGCUCAUUGAAUCACUCUCAUACAUCAUAGAGAGAUUUUUCAUCGAGUUGUUGAAAUGUAGUGAUUUCAGUUUUGAGCUU